UUCCGGUUGAUCCUGCCGGACCCGACCGCUAUCGGGGUAGGGCUAAGCCAUGGGAGUCGAACGCCCCGCCGCUGCGGGGCGUGGCGGACGGCUGAGUAACGCGUGGCUAACCUACCCUCGGGACGGGGAUAACUCCGGGAAACUGGAGCUAAUCCCCGAUAGGCGGGGAGGCCUGGAAUGGUUCCCCGCCGAAAGGCGCCGCCGGGGGUUAUCGCCGGCGGUGCGCCCGAGGAUGGGGCUGCGUCCCAUCACGGUAGUUGGCGGGGUAAUGGCCCGCCAAGCCUACGACGGGUAGGGCCGUGAGAGCGGGAGCCCCCAGAUGGGCACUGAGACAAGGGCCCAGGCCCUACGGGGCGCACCAGGCGCGAAACCUCCGCAAUGCGGGCAACCGUGACGGGGCUACCCCGAGUGCCCCCCUCGUGGGGGCUUUUCCCCGCUGUAGGUAGGCGGGGGAAUAAGCGGGGGGCAAGACUGGUGUCAGCCGCCGCGGUAAUACCAGCCCCGCGAGUGGUCGGGGUGCUUACUGGGCCUAAAGCGCCCGUAGCCGGCUCGACAAGUCCCCUCCUAAAGCCCCGGGCUCAACCCGGGGAGUGGAGGGGAUACUGUCGGGCUAGGGGGCGGGAGAGGCCGAGGGUACUCCCGGGGUAGGGGCGAAAUCCACUAAUCCCGGGAGGACCACCAGUGGCGAAGGCGCUCGGCUGGAACGCGCCCGACGGUGAGGGGCGAAAGCCGGGGGAGCGAACCGGAUUAGAUACCCGGGUAGUCCCGGCUGUAAACGAUGCGGGCUAGGUGUUGGGCGGGCGAGAGGGCCCGCCCAGUGCCGCAGGGAAGCCGUUAAGCCCGCCGCCUGGGGAGUACGGCCGCAAGGCUGAAACUUAAAGGAAUUGGCGGGGGAGCACCACAAGGGGUGGAGCCUGCGGCUUAAUUGGAUUCAACGCCGGA
Molecule: ribosomal RNA, 942 nt
Filed under: uncultured Desulfurococcales archaeon
Lineage: Archaea; Thermoproteati; Thermoproteota; Thermoprotei; Desulfurococcales
Description: bacterial SSU rRNA
Rfam family: Archaeal small subunit ribosomal RNA
Source: RNAcentral